GAUUCCCUUAGUAACGGCGAGCGAAAAGGGAAAUGUCCAGCGCCAAGUCUUGACAUUUAGGUGUUCAAGAGAUGCGGCGUUAAUGUAUUGGUGCAUCGUGCAUUGUUCCAUGUUUCAAGUUCCUUUGACAGGGACAUCCAGAGCGGGUGCUAGGCCCAUAGAGACGAGGAACCAGUGUACGCCGGCCAAUGCAUUCUAGAGUCAGGUUGCUUGAGAGUGCAGCUUAAAGUGGGUGGUAAACUCCAUCUAAGACUAAAUACUACAGCGAGACCGAUAGCAAACAAGUACCGUGAGGGAAAGUUGCAAAGCACUUUGAAGAGAGAGUCAAACAGUACGUGAAACCACUGGGAGGCAAACAGAUGGAACCACGAAGUGAGCGCCUCGGUCGAUUCAAUCAUCUCCAUCGAUUGUUGGCAUUGGUGAAGGGUUUCUUCGGAAGCUGCACCAAGGUUGUCUAAUCGAUGGAGCUGGUGCAUUUCGAGCCGAGGAUGCAAAGCCACGUUCAAUCAGAUAGUUGGGAUGGCUGUAGGACAGRAUCGGAGAAAGGUGCCCGGCAAGUGCUUGCAUUUGUCGGCGUUAUAGACUCUGAUUGGCACCGUCGCCAAACAAACUGAUUGAUGGAAAUUCUCCUUCGGGAGUGAAACCAUGUCUGCCUAUGAUCGCAAGCAAAGACAUAAGAGUGUUCUUUACGUAUCUUUGGGUGCGAAAAGGCACUUUGACCGUUUUUGUUGGCGGUUGUUUGCGUGACAUGGUGGAACUGUGGCGCGAGUAGGUCGGUCUCCAUCUGACCCGUCUUGAAACACGGACCAAGGAGCCUAUCAUAUACGCAAGUCGCUCGGUCUUGUUUAGGCCCGGGAGGCGAAAUGAAAGUAAAGCUAUGAGACUUCGGUCGCAAUAGCGGCCCGCCUACUUCGUUUAUUGGCGAUCAGGCGGAGCUGGAGCGUAUACGAUGGUACCCGAAAGAUGGUGAACUAUGCCUGGGCAAGACGAAGCCAGAGGAAACUCUGGUGGAGGUCUGUAGCGAUUCUGACGUGCAAAUCGAUCGUCAGACCUGGGUAUAGGGGCGAAAGACUAAUCGAACCAUCUAGUAGCUGGUUCCCUCCGAAGUUUCCCUCAGGAUAGCAGGCGUUUAUUUAGAAUCAGUCUCAUCCGGUAAAGCUAAUGAUUAGAGGUCUUGGGGCUGAAACGGCCUCAACCUAUUCUCAAACUUUAAAUGGGUGAGAUGGUUGACUUUCUUGAUUGAAGCCAACCAUUUGGAUGUAAGUGCCUAGUGGGCCAUUUUUGGUAAGCAGAACUGGCGCUGUGGGAUGAACCAAACGUCGAGAUAAGGUAUCAAAUGCGCACGCUCAUCAGACCCCAUGAAAGGUGUUGGUUGCUAUAGACAGCAGGACGGUGGCCAUGGAAGUCGGAAUCC
This 1414-nucleotide ribosomal RNA is filed under the name Trouessartia sp. n. AD768. Its description in RNAcentral is "eukaryotic LSU rRNA". It matches the Rfam family "Eukaryotic large subunit ribosomal RNA", at positions 73 to 1269 of the family's 3401-position model. Lineage: Eukaryota; Metazoa; Arthropoda; Arachnida; Sarcoptiformes; Trouessartiidae. The record is from RNAcentral.